This is an RNA transcript of Oncorhynchus gorbuscha (pink salmon), 2815 nucleotides long. It is a transcript of the gene named beta-1,3-N-acetylglucosaminyltransferase manic fringe-like, with no coding region annotated. The record is from RefSeq and is a predicted model, not a curated record. NCBI's taxonomy places the organism in Eukaryota, Metazoa, Chordata, Actinopteri, Salmoniformes, Salmonidae. The transcript has 9 exons.
GUUGCCAGAGAAAUGCAUAUUAGUUUGAGAAUACACUUUACAACUUCGAUGUGGAUAAUUUCAUAUUUAAGGUCACAAUGAGUGGACGGCAAACUUGAAACUUAAAAUUGUCAUAACAAAAAUGAAUUUAUAGCCCAUAUAAAAUACGCGUGGGGCAGUGUCAGAAUGAUUUGUCAACGGAAGGCGCAUGUCAUUGGAGGAUGAUCACUAAAUUAGACCAGAAUACAUGACAGAAGGAAGUUGUGGAUGUGUUCAACGGGUCGAGACAUAAUACUCCCUUGAUCACAUACACUUUCUAUCCCUCUUCAAAUGAAAUAGCCUACAAUCUCAGUUCAUCAUGCAUAGAAGGAGGAUGCUUCGGGCACUCCCUGUUUUUAUAUUAAUGUUCUUCGUCGUUUUAAUAGUGGACUUUCAACUAAGGACGCGGAAUCUCCACAAACUCAAUUCUAUUCACAAUCCGUUCGGGGGAGACUUACUGCGCUCGAUUCAAGAGACGCCUCUCUCCGCGGCAAAGGAGCCACCAAAGCCGGCCAAGUUUCCUCGACAACCCGCCGCUGUCUCUACUAUGAACCAGACUGUUGGUGGCUUACAAGCGGAGAUACAGAGAAGGAGAGACAAGUUGAGGGCUUUGGAACAGAGAAGGGUUGUCAUCACUCCAUCCCUGUUGAGGUUAACGGACAUCUUCCUCGCGGUGAAGAGCACCGGGAGGUUCCAUGGCACGCGCCUCUCUCUCCUCCUCGAGACGUGGAUCUCCAAGACCAAGGAGCAUACGUUCAUCUUUACAGACACGGAGGAUGAAGAUAUCAACUCCAGAGGUUACAAUGUGAUUGUGACAGAUUGUCCGUCGGACCACAGUCACCAGGCUCUGUCCUGUAAGAUGUCUGCUGAAUAUGACCACUUCAUGGCCUCCGAUAAGAAGUGGCUGUGUCAUGUUGACGAUGAUAACUACGUGAAUCCUGGAGCUCUUCUCUCCCUGCUCUCAGCCUUCCCCCAAGACAGUGAUGUCUACGUGGGCAAGCCCAGCCUCGACCACCCCAUCAAGGCCCAUGAACUACUGGAGGGCAACAAGACGAAAGAAGUGCAGUUCUGGUUUGCCACGGGAGGAGCAGGCUUCUGUCUGAGUCGCAGACUAGCUGAGAAGAUGGCUCCAUGGGCUAGUGGUCCCAGGUUUGAGCAGACGUCAGCAGUGAUCCGUCUGCCAGAUGACUGUACAGUAGGCUUCAUCGUAGAGAGAAGACUGGGGAUAUCCAUGGUCCACAGUUCAAUGUUCCACUCUCACCUGGAGAACCUGCUACUGCUGACGCCCAGCAAUAUACCUCUACAGGUGACUCUUAGUUAUGGGCUGUUUGAAAACAAGAUGAACAGUGUGGAGCUGAAUAGACUCUUCUCCAAGGAGGAUGAUCCCUCCAGGUCAGUACCACUCUGUCCCCAGGAUAAGAAACCUUCUCCAAGGAGGAUGAUCCCUCCAGGUCAGUACCACUCUGUCCCCAGGAUAAGAAACCUUCUCCAAGGAGGAUGAUCCCUCCAGGUCAGUACCACUCUGUCCCCAGGAUAAGAAACCUUCUCCAAGGAGGAUGAUCCCUCCAGGUUUAAGACGGUCCACUGUCUACUCUAUCCACUGACCAGCUGGUGCCCUUGAAGAGUCCAACUCCCAGCAGCACCUGUGCCUCCUGAGACUUUCCCAAAUGGUGUCAGCACUUCCUGGAUUCUCUGGGUGUGUCUCAAUAAUCUCUCUUUUCUCCUGAAGUGUCGUUUACUACUUCCAACAAAUCUAAAAGUGAUGGCUUGGUCGAGGUGUGGGCUAGUGGGAGUUUCACCCUUGCGUCUUACCCCGGUCAUUAACUUUGAAAUCUGUGUACAAACUUUGGGAGCAAGGAGAGAUAAUUGGGACACAGCCCUGGUUUUACAUGGAAAUAACAGGGACGACAAGCACUAGUCUGGUGCAGAAUGCAGCUUGCACUUCCUGUAGCCUAUCGACUUAUUCUAGGAGUUCUAGGAGCCCUCCAGAUCCCUUACCAAGACUAGGAGCCCUCCAGAUCCCUUACCAAGACUAGGAGCCCUCCAGAUCCCUUACCAAGACUAGGAGCCCUCCAGAGCCCUUACCAAGACUAGGAGCCCUCCAGAGCCCUUACCAAGACUAGGAGCCCUCCAGAGCCCUUACCAAGACUAGGAGCCCUCCAGAGCCCUUACCAAGACUAGGAGCCCUCCAGAGCCCUUACCAAGACUAGGAGCCCUCCAGAGCCCUUACCAAGACUAGGAGCCCUCCAGAGCCCUUACCAAGACUAGGAGCCCUCCAGAGCCCUUAACAAGACUAGGAGCCCUCCAGAUCCCUUACCAAGACUAGGAGCCCUCCAGAGCCCUUAACAAGACUAGGAGCCCUCCAGAGCCCUUACCAAGACUAGGAGCCCUCCAGAGCCCUUAACAAGACUAGGAGCCCUCCAGAGCCCUUACCAAGACUAGGAGCCCUCCAGAGCCCUUAACAAGACUAGGAGCCCUCCAGAGCCCUUAACAAGACUAGGAGCCCUCCAGAGCCCUUACCAAGACUAGGAGCCCUCCAGAGCCCUUAACAAGACUAGGAGCCCUCCAGAGCCCUUAACAAGACUAGGAGCCCUCCAGAGUCCUUACCAAGACUGCACUUGCAUCAUUUAUUUGCAGGUGUGUAUAUUUGUUGAACAGAGACCAAAAUCAUUUUGAAUAUAGUUUUUUUAAUAGAUUUGUAAAACUUCCUAUGAUGGAUGACCUCUGGUGAGACUCACUGCUGUAAAAUAUCUGCCGUUUUUGAAUCUGUUCUGUUAUGAAAACUGUUUUGAAAUUG